This 549-nucleotide ribosomal RNA is filed under the name uncultured Glomeromycotina. RNAcentral's name for it is "SSU rRNA". It matches the Rfam family "Eukaryotic small subunit ribosomal RNA", at positions 548 to 1098 of the family's 1831-position model. Lineage: Eukaryota; Fungi; Glomeromycota. The record is from RNAcentral.
UUGGAGGGCAAGUCUGGUGCCAGCAGCCGCGGUAAUUCCAGCUCCAAUAGCGUAUAUUAAAGUUGUUGCAGUUAAAAAGCUCGUAGUUGAAUUUCGGGAUCAAUUUAUUGGUCGUGCCAACGGUACGCACUGGUACAAUUGGUUUCUCCCUUCUGACGAAGCAUGAUGUCAUUAAUUUGAUGUCGCGGGGAAUCAGGACUGUUACUUUGAAAAAAUUAGAGUGUUUAAAGCAGGCUUUGGCUUGAAUACAUUAGCAUGGAAUAAUGAAAUAGGACGUUUGAUCUUAUUUCGUUGGUUUCUAAGAUCGACGUAAUGAUUAAUAGGGAUAGUUGGGGGCAUUAGUAUUCAAUUGUCAGAGGUGAAAUUCUUGGAUUUAUUGAAGACUAACUACUGCGAAAGCAUUUGCCAAGGAUGUUUUCAUUAAUCAAGAACGAAAGUUAGGGGAUCGAAGACGAUCAGAUACCGUCGUAGUCUUAACCAUAAACUAUGCCGACUAGGGAUCGGAUGAUGUUAAUUUUUUAAUGACUCAUUCGGCGCCUUACGGGAAAC